Molecule: ribosomal RNA, 429 nt
Filed under: Bacteroidota bacterium
Lineage: Bacteria; Pseudomonadati; Bacteroidota
Description: Bacteroidetes bacterium partial 16S ribosomal RNA
Rfam family: Bacterial small subunit ribosomal RNA
Source: RNAcentral
UAGGGAAUCUUCGGCAAUGGGGGGAACCCUGACCGAGCAACGCCGCGUGAGUGAAGAAGGUUUUCGGAUCGUAAAGCUCUGUUGUUAAGGAAGAACGAGUGUGAGAAUGGAAAGUUCAUACUGUGACGGUACUUAACCAGAAAGGGACGGCUAACUACGUGCCAGCAGCCGCGGUAAUACGUAGGUCCCGAGCGUUGUCCGGAUUUAUUGGGCGUAAAGCGAGCGCAGGCGGUUAGAUAAGUCUGAAGUUAAAGGCAGUGGCUCAACCAUUGUAGGCUUUGGAAACUGUUUAACGUGAGUGCAGAAGGGGAGGGUGGAAUUCCAUGUGUAGCGAUGAAAUGCGUAGAUAUAUGGAGGAACACCGGUGGCGAAAGCGGCUCUCUGGUAUGUAACUGACGCUGAGGCUCGGAAGCGUGGGGAGCGAACAGG